Molecule: ribosomal RNA, 443 nt
Filed under: uncultured bacterium
Lineage: Bacteria
Description: partial 16S ribosomal RNA
Rfam family: Bacterial small subunit ribosomal RNA
Source: RNAcentral
CCUACGGGAGGCAGCAGUGGGGAAUAUUGGGCAAUGGGUGCAAGCCUGACCCAGCAACGCCGCGUGAAGGAAGAAGGCUUUCGGGUUGUAAACUUCUUUUGUCAGGGACGAAGCAAGUGACGGUACCUGACGAAUAAGCCACGGCUAACUACGUGCCAACAGCCGCGGUAAUACGUAGGUGGCAAGCGUUAUCCGGAUUUACUGGGUGUAAAGGGCGUGUAGGCGGGACUGCAAGUCAGAUGUGAAAACCACGGGCUCAACCUGUGGCCUGCAUUUGAUACUGUAGUUCUUGAGUGCUGGAGAGGCAGACGGAAUUCCUGGUGUAGCGGUGAAAUGCGUAGAUAUUAGGAAGAACACCAGUGGCGAAGGCGGUCUGCUGAACAGCAACUGACGCUGAGGCGCGAAAGCGUGGGGAGCAAACAGGAUUAGAUACCCUUGUAGUC